UACAGAGGUCUCAAGCGUUGUUCGGUUUUAUUGGGCGUAAAGGGUGCGUAGGCGGCAGAUCAAGUUAGAUGCGAAAUACCCGGGCUCAACCCGGGAACUGCAUUUAAUACUGCUCUGCUCGAGUAUUAGAGAAGAAGCUGGAAUUUACGGUGUAGCAGUGAAAUGCGUAGAUAUCGUAAAGAACGUCAGUGGCGAAAGCGAGCUUCUAGAUAAUUACUGACGCUGAGGCACGAAAGCUAGGGGAGCAAACGGG
Molecule: ribosomal RNA, 253 nt
Filed under: uncultured bacterium
Lineage: Bacteria
Description: partial 16S ribosomal RNA
Rfam family: Bacterial small subunit ribosomal RNA
Source: RNAcentral